RNAcentral lists this ribosomal RNA (407 nucleotides) under bacterium enrichment culture clone ALO1_GLFRUDD03FURM5. Its description in RNAcentral is "bacterial SSU rRNA". It matches the Rfam family "Bacterial small subunit ribosomal RNA", at positions 9 to 416 of the family's 1533-position model. The record is from RNAcentral.
GAGUUUGAUCCUGGCUCAGAUUGAACGCUGGCGGCAUGCCUUACACAUGCAAGUCGAACGGCAGCACGGGAGCUUGCUCCUGGUGGCGAGUGGCGAACGGGUGAGUAAUGCAUCGAAACGUAUCCUGGAGUGGGGGAUAACGUAGCGAAAGUUACGCUAAUACCGCAUAUUCUGUGAGCAGGAAAGCGGGGGACCUUCGGGCCUCGCGCUCUUGGAGCGGCCGAUGUCGGAUUAGCUAGUUGGUGAGGUAAAGGCUCACCAAGGCGACGAUCCGUAGCAGGUCUGAGAGGAUGAUCUGCCACACUGGAACUGAGACACGGUCCAGACUCCUACGGGAGGCAGCAGUGGGGAAUUUUGGACAAUGGGGGCAACCCUGAUCCAGCCAUGCCGCGUGAGUGAAGAAGGCC